GACGAACGCUGGCGGCGUGCUUAACACAUGCAAGUCGAACGGCAGCACGGGUGCUUGCACCUGGUGGCGAGUGGCGAACGGGUGAGUAAUACAUCGGAACGUACCUUAUCGUGGGGGAUAACGCAGCGAAAGCUGUGCUAAUACCGCAUACGCCCUGAGGGGGAAAGCGGGGGAUCGAAAGACCUCGCGCGAUUAGAGCGGCCGAUGCCUGAUUAGCUUGUUGGUGGGGUAAAAGCCCACCAAGGCGACGAUCAGUAGCUGGUCUGAGAGGACGAGCAGCCACACUGGGACUGAGAGACGGCCCAGACUCCUACGGGAGGCAGCAGUGGGGAAUUUUGGACAAUGGGGGCAACCCUGAUCCAGCAAUGCCGCGUGAGUGAAGAAGGCCUUCGGGUUGUAAAGCUCUUUUGUCAGGGAAGAAACACCGGCUCUAACACAGUCCGGGAAUGACGGUACCUGAAGAAUAAGCACCGGUUAACUACGUGCCAGCAGCCGCGGUAA
RNAcentral lists this ribosomal RNA (501 nucleotides) under uncultured bacterium. Its description in RNAcentral is "partial 16S ribosomal RNA". It matches the Rfam family "Bacterial small subunit ribosomal RNA", at positions 28 to 523 of the family's 1533-position model. The record is from RNAcentral.